Long non-coding RNA from Vitis vinifera (wine grape), 4510 nucleotides. RefSeq lists it as uncharacterized. The record is from RefSeq and is a predicted model, not a curated record. The transcript is spliced from 3 exons. NCBI's taxonomy places the organism in Eukaryota, Viridiplantae, Streptophyta, Magnoliopsida, Vitales, Vitaceae.
AACUUCAGCUUUUCUAUCUGAAGCUACCCAAUGGAUUGCAAACUUUCACGUGUCUUGAAGAGUUGCAAAUAACGAGAUGCCCUAAACUUGAGUCAUUUUCAGAUUCGGGUUUGCCGCUAAUGCUAAGAAAGCUUGUGGUGGAUGAGUGUGAGAGUCUAAAAUGGCUGCCUCGUAACUACAACUCAUGUGCCCUUGAAUCCCUAGAGAUACUUAUGUGUCCAUCUCUCGUAUGCUUUCCAAAUUCUGAGCUUCCAACCACACUCAAGAAUAUAUAUAUUCAAGGUUGUGAAAAUCUAACGUCUCUACCAGAGGGAAUGAUGCACCACAAUUCCACUUGUUGUCUUGAAAAUUUGAUCAUUGAUUAUUGUCCCUCUCUCAAGUCCUUUCCAACAGGGGAGUUACCCUCCACCCUUAAAAACCUUGCCAUUUCCGUUUGCUCCAACUUGGAGUCGAUGUCAGAGAACAUGUGCCCCAACAAUUCAGCUCUUGACUCUUUAUACCUUGUGCGUUAUCCAAAUCUGAGAACCCUACCAGAAUGCCUGCACAAUCUCAAGAAUCUCAAAAUAAUUGACUGUGAAGGUCUGGAGUGCUUUCCAAAAGGAGGCUUGUCCGUCCCCAACCUCACACGCCUUUGUAUCGCUCAAUGUCGGAAUCUGAAAUCUGUGUCACAUCAGAUGACAAACCUCAAAUCUCUUCAACUGCUGAGAAUAAGUGGCUGUCCAAGAGUGGAGUCCUUUCCAGAAGAGGGUUUAGCCCCUAACCUGACAUCACUUAAGAUUGAUGACUGUAAGAAUCUGAAAACGGGCAUAUCUGAGUGGGGCCUCCACACCCUCACCUCUCUUUCGUCAUUGACUAUUAAGAAUAUGUUUCCUGAUAUGGUUUCCUUUCCAGAUGAAGUGUUCUUCUUCCCAUUUCUCUCACCUCCAUUACAAUCAAUGCAAUGGAAUCCCUAGCCUCCUUGGCUCUCAGAAACCUCAUCUAUCUUCAAGUCCUAGAGAUAUCAAAUUGCCCUAACAUCUGCUCUUUAGCGUCGUUGCCUGCAACACUUGAAAGACUUCAAAUCCAGAAUUCUCCUAUACUAAAAGCAAGGUGCUCAAAGGAGAAAGGAGAAUAUUAGCCCAACAUUGCCCACAUCCCCAACAUUUGGAUAGUUGGAGAAUAGAUAUUGAGGCAGAAACUUGUAGGCGGAGGCAUUACGUUUCAUCCAUUCUUACAUUCAGUCAGUUUGAUCUUAAGAAGAUUGGAGUAGGCAGGAGUGAAAACCUUCUGGUUGACUUUGGAUUUGAACUAUAGUAUCUCAAGGAAGGUGCCUAUACAUAGGUUGAUUUCCUGAUUUCAGUCCUGAAGAAGGCUGCCAACAAUGCUAAGGCUUAUCACCAGUUCUAAAAGACAGGCGCUUAAAAACGAGAGAGGAAUUCUGGCCCCACAUUGCUCAAGUCCCCUGCAUGGAUGUAGAUUCCGAAUUUUGUUGAUUAACUAUCACAACUUGAGAUUGAACUUCAUUUAUGUAUGCUGAAGCAUGGGAUCAAAGACCAUUCAACCCUGUCCCAUCCUUAGUUUCAAUCAGGUAUGGACUUCUAAUUAUUAAUGCAAUUUUCCAUAAUCAAGAAGAUGUAAGCAAAGACCACUUCUCCCUAGUGCCUCCUUAUUUUGGAUUAGGUAUGCCCUCCCAUUUUCAUUGACCCAAUAUCAGUUUUAGUGUUAGCCAGUUAUAAAAAUUUCUUGUUUACAAGUGGUAACUAGAAGGAAAAAAAUGGCAUGCAUGAAAUCUAAGGUUUCUUAAUCAUAACCGGUUCCUAUUCACAUUUGGUUGUAUGUUCUCAAUCACAAAAGUAGAUCAUUGUUUUUUUGCAUUUUCAUUUUUAUUUUUAUUUUUAUUUUUUGAAGUAAAUAUUACAGGUUGCUCUGACUUGUUAGCUGAUAUGCUUCAUUUUAAAAAAAUUCUUCUCUAUUUAGGAAGAAGGAAAAAAUGCAGGUGGAAUCAAAAGCUUUUCAAUAAUAAGUUUGUGGUCUAUUCAGAUCAAUGAUAUGGAAAGUAUCCCCUGCUUUUAGAUAGAUGGGAAUAUAUGCUUUGAAGUAUAAUAACUAGAAAUAGAAAUACAUUUUGUGGGUACCAGAAAAGAAACAGAAGCAGAAAGCCAUUCAACCCCCAAUCCUUGCAGGUACAAUAUUACUACCAUUUUCCUAUCCUUUCCUUACUUUUAUUAUACUUAGGGAUAGCUUUAUUGUGUGUACAACGUCAACCUUGUUUUCUCCUGGGACCAUCAAAUUGGAUCAAAGGCACCAUGCCAUUGAGUUACCAAAUUCAGCCUCUUUCCUUUGUCAUUUUUUUUUUUUUCUUUUAAAUGAUAUUUUCAGCUUUCUAAUUUUUAAAGCCAUUGUCUUGGAUUUGGUUCGGAAGUAGUAAAAUUAUAAAAAAAAAAAAUUAUUUCUUUUUCUGCAUGCUAUUAUAUUUAGUGGACUUAGAUAUGGAUAUCUAGAUGUGAAUUGCUAUUCCAAUAUUAGAGUAGCUUAGUAGAGAAAAAAUAAACUGAAAAUUUGACAAAUGAAACAAUUUUCUUUUUAAUGAAGACAGAAACCUUUUUGAAUGAUUGAAGUACAUUCACAUGGGUCCUGCUUUGACAAGGAUGAGGCAGGUACAUAGGGUGAAGAAAAAGAUGAGAGAUGUUCCAUUCCCUAAUUAAGAAAUGAAAGUAAGCAAUUAGUUAUAUCUACCCAUUUAGCUCUCUUCCAACUUCAUUGACCCAAUAUCAAAAUGUAGAAAGGGAAAAAAUUUGUGUAGAUUAAAUGAAGAAAUUUAUAAACAUAAUUGCAGCCUGUUCACAUAUUGGUAUAUUUGUUACUUCUCCUUUGGAUGAAAUUUUUUCUUUUUGUUCUUGUGUAAGCCGAUCAACUUCAUUUUUCAUGCUAAUUAUUUCUAUCACCAGUGCAUUUUGUUCAUCCUCCUGCUCUCAUCCUUUGCUUCACUAUAUAUAUAUAUAAAGAGAAAGUUGUCAUUCUGUAAUUUUUUUGCAGCAUGAUUUACUUUUGACUCUACAGUCCAAACCACAGCUUAUGAUUGUUCUACAGCAAAACAAAUAUAGUUUCAUGCCGCAAUUUUUUAUGGGUUAUCUUUUGCUAGUUCUCAAUUUCAUGCACUCUUUUUAAUUACACAAUUACAUAUUUAGAUCCGUGAGACUGGCGUGGUAUCUCAAAUUAACAGAACUUCAUUAUUCGGAUAUACUACAUUGAUAAGGUCACAGUUAACUAAUUUGAAGGUCAAUUUAUGUUUAGGUUAUUAAUAAUUUUAUCUUGGUUUCAGUUUGAUCUAAAGAAGAUUGGGGUAGGUAGGAACAAAAACCUUCUGGUUAACUUUGGAUUUGAAGUGCAGUAUCUCAAGAAACAUGUGAGAAUCUGAAAAUGCCCAUAUCUGAGUGGGGCCUCCACACCCUCACCUCUCUUUCCAAAUUGAUUAUUGAGGAUCUCUUUCCAGGUAUGGUUUCCAUCUUGGAUGAAGAGUGUCUUCUUCCUACAUCUCUCACUUCUCUUGAAAUCAGGAGAAUGGAAUCCCUAGCCUCCCUAUCUCUCCAAAACCUCAUAUCUCUCCGUUAUUUUUAUUUUUGUUAUUUUUUUUUUACUUUUGUUCAUUAUUUAUUUUUUUCUUUUCCAUUUUUACAUUCAUUGUCAAGGUUGAUCCUUGCAUGUUUAGGUCCUGUAAUUUCUGGAAGGGGGGUUUGGCCCCAUGGUAGCUUCAGUUUGGGUUCAAUUCUUGAUGCACAUGUGUCUGAGUAGCACUGGUCCACUAGGCCUUUACAGAUGAUGAAAUCAUGCUGCCAGUCCUCUAACUUGAAGAAGGGUUGCAUGUGACACCCAAUGCUUGAAAUCCAGAUCAAUUUUCCUGUACUAGGACAAAGUUGCUUAAAGGAGAAAGGAGGAAGUUUGGCUUAGGGUUGCCUACAUCUCUGACAUUCAACAACAUGACUUCAUUGGAAAAUAUGAAUUUAUAUUGAAUUGUGUUUUGCCCACUUUGGAAGUUGAGAGGGAGAUCACUCCUCUUUCCUUCACCCAGUUAUGCUUGACUAACCACGGAUGUAGAACCGUCUUUUUUAUUGGUCAAUAAUAGGGUUCACUUCUAUAAUUAACAGAAACUUCUUUUCUACAUGUAGGAGAGGGAUAAAAUGAGAGGAAUUUUGAGACUUAUGGCUCUCUAAGAAGAACUCAACUCAAUGGAUGUCUGUGCUGUGCUUUUUUAGUUUUAGUGGCUUAAGAAAAAUUAGCUGUCUCUGAUUUUGGAACUUGAUGUAUAUAAUGUAAGAAGUUUGAAGCUUGUUUCUUGAUCCUUAGACAAUUGUAGCAAAUGUUUCCAUAGGAUUUGUUUCUUUAGUUUGAUGAUUUAAACAUUUUUAUUUUCUCAAAAGUUGUAAUACCUCAAGUCCUUUUUUUUUUUUCCUUUUCCUUUCUUCUUAAAAAGAAAAUUGUGAGAACAUUGUAAUUUGCUUUUUACUAUAGUGGAUUAUUUCUAUGAUUGCCC